Molecule: unclassified non-coding RNA, 379 nt
Filed under: uncultured Pseudomonadota bacterium
Lineage: Bacteria; Pseudomonadati; Pseudomonadota
Description: uncultured proteobacterium contains 16S-23S intergenic spacer region
Source: RNAcentral
UCCGUGUUAACCACGGCAGUCUCCUUAGAGAGCCCAACUGAAUGCUGGCAACUAAGGACAAGGGUUGCGCUCGUUGCGGGACUUAACCCAACAUGUCACCACACGAGCUGACGACAGCCAUGCAGCACCUGUCAUCCUGCUGUAUUGCUACAGAAGCCCGAUCUCUCGGGUUGUCAGGAGAUGUCAAAUCCAGGUAAGGUUCUUCGCGUUGCUUCGAAUUAAACCACAUGAUCCACCGCUUGUGCGGGCCCCCGUCAAUUCCUUUGAGUUUUAAUCUUGCGACCGUACUCCCCAGGCGGUCGACUUCACGCGUUAGCUGCGGUACUAAGGAAGUCUCCUUCCCCAACACCUAGUCGACAUCGUUUAGGGCGUGGACUAC